This 64-nucleotide transfer RNA is filed under the name Cerion tridentatum costellata. Its description in RNAcentral is "tRNA-Gln". Lineage: Eukaryota; Metazoa; Mollusca; Gastropoda; Stylommatophora; Cerionidae. The record is from RNAcentral.
UUUCUUUUGGUGAGCUAGCACGACAGAGUUUGAAUCUGUAGGAAAGGUAAGUCCUUAAAGAAAA